This 322-nucleotide ribosomal RNA is filed under the name uncultured Chloroflexota bacterium. Its description in RNAcentral is "bacterial SSU rRNA". It matches the Rfam family "Bacterial small subunit ribosomal RNA", at positions 28 to 351 of the family's 1533-position model. The record is from RNAcentral. Lineage: Bacteria; Bacillati; Chloroflexota.
GAUGAACGCUGGCGGCGUGCCUAACACAUGCAAGUCGAACGUUAGAGUGUAGCAAUAUGCUCAAAAGUGGCGAACGGGUGAGUAACACGUAGGUAACCUGCCGCGCAGAGGGGGAUAACGACUGGAAACGGUCGCUAAUACCGCAUGGUACCAUGAAAGGGGGACUUUUCAUGGUUAAAACCUUGGUGCUGCGCGAGGGGCCUGCGUCCGAUUAGUUAGUUGGUGAGGUAAUGGCUCACCAAGACGAUGAUCGGUAGCUGGUCUGAGAGGAUGAUCAGCCACACUGGAAUUGAGAUACGGUCCAGACUCCUACGGGUGGCUG